GUAUUACGUUAUACGUUACGUAUAGCGUUAUAUACUAUUACGGUAAACAAUAUUACGCUAUAUAGUAUUACGUUAUAUAGUAUAGCGUUAUAUACUAUUACGCUAUACAAUAUUACGCUGUAUAGUGUUACGUUAUAAUGAAUUACGUUAUAUAGUAUUACGUUAUAUCGUAUUACACUACAUUAUUAUUAUUAUUGUUGCAUAGUCCGUGCCUUUCGGCUUUGGACGAACUUUCGGUUUUACAUCUCUUAUGUCUUCUUCAUUCCUUUUAUAUAGUCUGCAUCUUUUUUCUCCCUCUUCCUUCCAGUAUUCCCUUGCUUUGGUCUCG
Molecule: unclassified non-coding RNA, 328 nt
Filed under: Bombus terrestris (buff-tailed bumblebee)
Lineage: Eukaryota; Metazoa; Arthropoda; Insecta; Hymenoptera; Apidae
Description: misc RNA ENSBTSG00005028973.1
Source: RNAcentral